Molecule: long non-coding RNA, 1323 nt
Filed under: Gossypium barbadense (sea-island cotton)
Lineage: Eukaryota; Viridiplantae; Streptophyta; Magnoliopsida; Malvales; Malvaceae
Description: long non-coding RNA (GBAR_LNC019464)
Source: RNAcentral
UAAUAACUCAUUUCAAUUCAUACAAAUUCAAUCAAUAAAAUUUAUAUUAUCAAAAUUAUUCAUUUACCCCUAUUAACUUGACUCGGACUCUGACAGAUACGCAGAUUCCACCCAAACACACCAGAAUAUCCAACCAAAACACACCCGAAAUAAAUAUAAAUCCUCCAUAACGCACCAAUAUAUCAUAUCCUCCCAAACACACCAAUAAGACAUUAAAUGUCUCUUUGGAUAAACCGAAGCAUAUAAUAACAUAAUCAUCUUCUCGGCUGAGCUACAAAUCUCCUCAUCACAUCACAAAUCCUAUGGCAUGCCAUUUGUAUCCAAUCUAGUCUGAUAAGUUAAUAGGGUAUUCGAAUCACAUUUCAAUUCAAUCACUUUCUCAUACUUUCAAUUCCAAUUUAAUCACAAUUUAAUUCAAUACAUUUUUCACCUUCCAAUCAGUAUACCAUCAAUUGCUCAUACAUAUUCAUACUUCAUUUUAAUUUCAUUCAAUUCACAUACAAUUCAAUAUCAUUUAAUUCAAUAUCGAUAUUCACCUUAUUUUUAUUUAUUAAACAUAUUAUUCAAAAUUCAACAAUUGCUAUUAAUAAAUUCAAUAUCAAUACGUAUUUAUCAUUCAAUUCAAUCAUGAUACUUACUUCAAUUUGCUUAUCAUGUAUAUUAAUUUAAAUUUUAACAAUUAAUAAUUAAAUUCGAAUUAUGGUAAUACUAACCGUAAAUUUUCUCGAGUCACUCCUUGUUCACCUUCUCCUUUCCUUUCUCGGACAAUGACUCUUGCAUGACAUUAGCUACGUAAUUAAACAAUUAAAAAUCAUUAAUACACAAUUUCAUUAAAAUAUUUCCUUUUAUACCUAAACUUUUACCCAAAUUCCAAUUUAAUCCCUUAUCAAUACUAAUUUUAUUUUCCCAUUCUAACUCUAUAUUCUCUCUUAAUUCUUACUAUAAAUUCACUUUAACUCUUCAUUUUCACCAUAAAUCCCUAGUUUCAAAAUUCUCUCAAUUUAGUCCCUAUUAAUUCAAAGCCUAUAAUUUAUUUUACAAAUCAACCUUUUACUAACUUCUAACUUGAAAUUUAAUCAAUUUAACCCCUAAUUCUUUCAUUUAUUCAACAUAAUCAAUGUCUAGAAAUAUAAUAACUUCCCAAAUUUCAACAUAAAUCCAAUAAUACUUUGUUCUAGGAUACCAAAAACUCAAAAAUUAUAAGAAAAUGACUUAAUUUAACUUACCAAUUGAGCUUGGAAUCUUGAAAUCCCAAAUUUUCUUCCUUUGCUUCCCUUUUUCUUUUUCUUUCCUUUCUCCCCUGUUUUCGUUUGCCUAUUCUGU